CCGGGGUAAUACGGAAGGUCCAGGCGUUAUCCGGAUUUAUUGGGUUUAAAGGGAGCGUAGGCUGGAGAUUAAGUGUGUUGUGAAAUGUAGACGCUCAACGUCUGAAUUGCAGAGCAUACUGGUUUCCUUGAGUACGCACAACGUUGGCGGAAUUCGUCGUGUAGCAGUGAAAUGCUUAGAUAUGACGAAGAACUCCGAUUGCGAAGGCAGCUGACGGGAGCGCAACUGACGCUUAAGCUCGAAGGUGCGGGUAUCAAACAGG
This 262-nucleotide ribosomal RNA is filed under the name uncultured bacterium. Its description in RNAcentral is "partial 16S ribosomal RNA". It matches the Rfam family "Bacterial small subunit ribosomal RNA", at positions 515 to 776 of the family's 1533-position model. The record is from RNAcentral.